ACGCAGCGAAAUGCGAUAAGUAAUGUGAAUUGCAGAAUUCAGUGAAUCAUCGAAUCUUUGAACGCACAUUGCGCCCCUUGGUAUUCCGAGGGGCAUGCCUGUUCGAGCGUCAUUACAACCCUCAAGCUCUGCUUGGUAUUGAGCGUCCCGCCUGAGCAAUCAGGCGC
RNAcentral lists this ribosomal RNA (167 nucleotides) under Speiropsis scopiformis. Its description in RNAcentral is "5.8S ribosomal RNA". The stretch from base 1 to 112 matches the Rfam family "5.8S ribosomal RNA", at positions 43 to 154 of the family's 154-position model. Rfam says of the family: 5.8S ribosomal RNA (5.8S rRNA) is a component of the large subunit of the eukaryotic ribosome. It is transcribed by RNA polymerase I as part of the 45S precursor that also contains 18S and 28S rRNA. The record is from RNAcentral. Lineage: Eukaryota; Fungi; Ascomycota; Dothideomycetes.